Molecule: non-coding RNA, 28 nt
Filed under: Homo sapiens (human)
Lineage: Eukaryota; Metazoa; Chordata; Mammalia; Primates; Hominidae
Source: RNAcentral
GAAGAGGGAGUAGAUGUACAUUCUGGUC